This 2896-nucleotide ribosomal RNA is filed under the name Clostridioides difficile. RNAcentral's name for it is "bacterial LSU rRNA". It matches the Rfam family "Bacterial large subunit ribosomal RNA". Lineage: Bacteria; Bacillati; Bacillota; Clostridia; Peptostreptococcales; Peptostreptococcaceae. The record is from RNAcentral.
UCAAGUUAUUAAGGGUGCAGGGCGGAUGCCUUGGCACUAGGAGCCGAUGAAGGACGUGAUAAGCUGCGAUAAGCUUCGGGGAGUUGCACGUAAACUUUGAUCCGAAGAUUUCCGAAUGAGGAAACUCACUUAGAGUAAUGUCUAAGUAUCAUUAAGUGAAUACAUAGCUUAAUGAGGGGAACUCAGGGAACUGAAACAUCUAAGUACCUGAAGGAAGAGAAAGAAAUUCGAUUCCGUAAGUAGCGGCGAGCGAACACGGAUUAGCCCAAACCAAUAAAGUUUUCUUUAUUGGGGUUGCGGACAUAUCAUAACGAAGAGGUAUCGUAAUUGAAGAGGUUUGGAAAGACCCACCACAGAAGGUAAUAGUCCUGUAUGUUAAACGAGAAGACUUUAGAUAUGAUCCAGAGUACCACGGGACACGUGAAACCCUGUGGGAAGCAGGAGGGACCACCCUCCAAGGCUAAAUACUACCUAGUGACCGAUAGCGUAUAGUACCGUGAGGGAAAGGUGAAAAGAACCCCGGGAGGGGAGUGAAAUAGAACCUGAAACCCUGCACUUACAAGCUGUGGAAGCACAUUUCUUGUGUGACCGCGUACUUUUUGUAGAACGGGCCAACGAGUUACGUUAAGUAGCAAGGUUAAGCACUUAAGGUGNGGAGCCGUAGCGAAAGCGAGUUUUAACUGAGCGUUCAGUUACUUGACGUAGACCCGAAACCGGGCGACCUACCCAUGAGCAGGAUGAAGCGAAAGUAAAAUUUCGUGGAGGUCCGAACCCACGAGCGUUGAAAAGCUCGGGGAUGACUUGUGGGUAGCGGUGAAAUUCCAAUCGAGCCCGGAGAUAGCUGGUUCUCCCCGAAAUAGCUUUAGGGCUAGCCUCAAGGUGAGAGAUACGGAGGUAGAGCACUGAAUGUCCUAGGGGGUAUUGCACCUACCGAAGACUAUCAAACUCCGAAUGCCGUCAUCUUAUACUUGGGAGUCAGACUGUGGGUGAUAAGAUUCAUAGUCGAAAGGGCAACAGCCCAGAUCGUCAGCUAAGGUCCCUAAAUGUAAGUUAAGUGGUAAAGGAUGUGGGAUUGCACAGACAACCAGGAUGUUGGCUUAGAAGCAGCCACUCAUUCAAAGAGUGCGUAAUAGCUCACUGGUCGAGUGAUCCUGCGCCGAAGAUUUCCGGGGCUAAAACUUACUACCGAAGCUACGGCAUCAGUAAUGAUGGGUAGGGGAGCUUCCCAUACGGGUUGAAGCAUGACCGUAAGGACAUGUGGACAGUAUGGGAGUGAGAAUGUUGGCAUGAGUAGCGAGAUGUGGGUGAGAAUCCCACAGGCCGUAAACCCAAGGUUUCCAGGGGAAGGUUCGUCCGCCCUGGGUUAGUCGGGACCUAAGCUGAGGCCGAAAGGCGUAGGUGAUGGACAACAGGUUGAUAUUCCUGUACUACCGAUAACCGUUUGAGAGAAGGGAUGACACAGUAGGAUAAGCUAAGCACACUGUUGGUUAUGUGUGCCCAAGCAUUGAGGCAGUCAAAGUAGGCAAAUCCGCUUUGAUAAUGCUGGGAUGUGAUGGGGAGCGAAAUUUAGUAGCGAAGUAGCUGAUUUCACACUGUCAAGAAAAGUCUCUAUCGAGGUUAAAGGUACCCGUACCGCAAACCGACACAGGUGGGUGAGGAGAGUAUCCUAAGGCCAGCGAGAGAACUGUUGUUAAGGAACUCGGCAAAAUGACCCCGUAACUUAGGGAUAAGGGGUGCCACCAUCAGGUGGCCGCAGAGAAUAGGCCCAAGCGACUGUUUACCAAAAACAUAGGUUUCUGCUAAGUCGCAAGACGAUGUAUAGGAGCUGACGCCUGCCCGGUGCUGGAAGGUUAAGGGGAUCUGUUAGAGCAAUCGAAGCAGUGAACUUAAGCCCCAGUAAACGGCGGCCGUAACUAUAACGGUCCUAAGGUAGCGAAAUUCCUUGUCGGGUAAGUUCCGACCCGCACGAAAGGCGUAACGAUUUGGGCACUGUCUCAACAACAGACUCGGUGAAAUUGUAAUUCCGGUGAAGAUGCCGGAUACCUGCGACAGGACGGAAAGACCCCAUGGAGCUUUACUGUAGCUUGACAUUGGGUCUUGGUACUACAUGUACAGGAUAGGUGGGAGGCUUUGAAACCAGGACGCCAGUUUUGGCGGAGCCAUCCUUGGGAUACCACCCUUGUAGUACUGGGACUCUAACCAUAGGCCAUGAAUCUGGUCUUGGGACACUGUCAGGUGGGCAGUUUGACUGGGGCGGUCGCCUCCCAAAAGGUAACGGAGGCGCUCAAAGGUUCUCUCAGUACGGUCGGAAAUCGUACGUAGAGUGUAAAGGCAAAAGAGAGCUUGAUUGCAAGACAUACAGGUCGAGCAAGGAUGAAAAUCGGACUUAGUGAUCCGGUGGUUCUGCGUGGAAGGGCCAUCGCUCAACGGAUAAAAGCUACCCUGGGGAUAACAGGCUUAUCUCCCCCAAGAGUCCACAUCGACGGGGAGGUUUGGCACCUCGAUGUCGGCUCAUCACAUCCUGGGGCUGUAGUAGGUCCCAAGGGUUGGGCUGUUCGCCCAUUAAAGUGGUACGCGAGCUGGGUUCAGAACGUCGUGAGACAGUUCGGUCCCUAUCCGUCGCAGGCGUAGGAAAUUUGAGAAGACCUGUCCUUAGUACGAGAGGACCGGGAUGGACGUACCUCUGGUGUACCAGUUGUCCUGCCAAGGGCAUGGCUGGGUAGCUAUGUACGGAAUGGAUAAGCGCUGAAAGCAUCUAAGCGCGAAGCCAACUUCAAGAUAAGAUUUCCCACCGCAAGGGUAAGACCCCAGAAAGACUAUCUGGUUGAUAGGUCGAAGGUGUAAGUGCAGCAAUGUAUUUAGCUUAUCGAUACUAAUAGGUCGAGGACUUGACCAA